Gadus morhua (Atlantic cod) is the source of this 368-nucleotide long non-coding RNA. RefSeq lists it as uncharacterized. The record is from RefSeq and is a predicted model, not a curated record. Lineage: Eukaryota; Metazoa; Chordata; Actinopteri; Gadiformes; Gadidae. The transcript has 2 exons.
CCCCCCUCACCCCACCUCUCCACACUCAGGACUAUAGCAACACCUUGCAGAGAUCUCUCCUAUUGGUUCGUUAAAAGGUUAGAUCCAGCCUCCUAUUGGUUCAGUACAAGGUGAGCUCCUUCCUCCUAUUGGUUAUAUAAAAGGUUAGAUCCAGCCUCCUAUUGGUUCAAUACAAGGUGAGCUCCUUCCUCCUAUUGGUUAUAUAAAAGGUUAGAUCCAGCCUCCUAUUGGUUCAAUACAAGGUGAGCUCCUUCCUCCUAUUGGUUAUAUAAAAGGUUAGAUCCAGCCUCCUAUUGGUUCAAUACAAGGUGAGCUCCUUCCUCCUAUUGGUUAUAUAAAAGGUUAGAUCCAGCCUCCUAUUGGUUCGU